GGGAACCAUUGGUGAGAGGGAGCAGGGACCUACAGGGCAUCACCACGGUUGUGCUGAACUCGACAAUGUCCUGUCAUGGAGUCCCGCAUGUCUGGGUCCUCAUACUUGUCCGCCUCGUAGUCCUCAUCAUGCGCCUGCAUCAUAUUCAGACUUUAAUUGUACAGAAUGUGCAACAAACUCGCCAAUACUUCUUCUGCCAAGAUAAACAAGUACUAUGACCAACGAGGGCAAUCAGAGUGUGGAGAACAAACAAAAUGAACCUACUACAAAGUUUUCGACUCAUCGAAAAUUCAUCUCUGGACUGGACUGUUGUGUGACAAUGCACAAAUGGCGCCGCAGCCUUAUAAUAGCUCUAGAAUAAGCAAACUGCAAUUCUAUCUGUGAAAUGAACCAAAGUGUACAUCACAUUUUCUAAACUCGUGAAGUUGGGAAAGGUUCAGAAUCUGCUAUUCUUGAUGGUUGUGUUUCGAAUUUGAUAAGUUAAUUCCUUAUCGAUCUGGCCGGUGCUGCGUUUGAGCAUCAGAAUCGUCUUCUAAAGAGGGCACCCAGCGCGAGUAUAAUCGGCACAUCAUCACAAGGUCCAAAGUGUUUCAUCACUCACGAACAGGGAGGGUAAGAUUUGAUUUCAGUUUGGUAGAACCAAAGAAAUGGUGCAUAUAUUAUACAAAAAAUGCUCGAGGUUUAUAUAAUCAAAACUCGACCACGCACGCACAUACAAAAUGAACCAAAAAAUGGUGCGUAUUGAUUGAUGACAUGGCUGUACAAUUGAAAGCGGCGUCCAGAUCAGAUAUGGGGGAGAGAAAGAGCUCACCACGUACGGCUGCUCUGAGGGGAGGAGGAGGAGGCAGCCGACGGUCAUCCCCGACCGGCGUUGGGUAGGCGAGGAGGGAUGUCGGCGCCUCCGAGCCUCUGGCGAAGAGAGAUCGUCGGGGAGGAGGCGAAUCGGCAUGAGGACGUCACUGGAAAAGAUGGGGAGGAGAGGGGGAUGCCGUCGACGGAGGACUUGGGCCGGCCGUCACCAGGGCAGGUCGGAGUUCGACGAGGAUCCGCGACGGCGAGCUCGACGGUAUGGAGUUCGACGAGGAUCCGCGCUGGAGGGAGAGAGGGAGAGGAGAGGAUAGGCUCCG
This 1127-nucleotide long non-coding RNA is filed under the name Triticum aestivum (bread wheat). RNAcentral's name for it is "long non-coding RNA (TAES_LNC010817)". The record is from RNAcentral. Lineage: Eukaryota; Viridiplantae; Streptophyta; Magnoliopsida; Poales; Poaceae.